AGCCGCAAUUCUGUAAUGCGGGACCUCCCGGUUGGCUAACUUUCAAUGGAACGCAAUGAUUUUCUUUUUUUUUUUUUUGUCCAUCGUGGAAUGGCCGUGACGGAAAUUGGGUUUAUGCCAUUGCCAUUAUAUAUACUUGUCCGGCACGUAGGCAUUCUAUAUAAAAGCAUGUCGACCAUUGUUAAGUGUCAAAUUUUCAAAGAGUGCCUUCGCAAAAUCAAAGCUUUUGGUUUUCUUCGUUUUGCUGUACCGAAUUCCAAUUUUUCGAGUGUAUUCCAUAGCCACAAAGUUCAUCGUGAGAGCCGAUGAAGCAACAAGCAGGUCCGUCGCAACAGGCGAUAUAUCCGCCGAUCGUGUCAGGUUUCAUUCGCCGGAUAUGCAUUCGUGACUCUAUGGCUUAGAGCUGGAGUGCCUUUCUCUUUUUUACUACCCGCAUUUGAUACUCUCGCAGCCGUUAGACGUUCAACCCGUCCAUGGACGCACGAGGUUAUUUCGUUAUGCACGCUGGGUGUUCAACCGAAGCGACUCGCCACUUUAAUGAACCGUCCAAAGCCUUUGCUUGGCAAACAAAAAUGAUGCGCACGUAUUGCUUUGUUUGUGUAACGUGUCUGUAGUUCCAAAGCAGAAAAAAAAAUAUAUAUAAUAAAAUUGUGCUACGCAUCGA
Daphnia magna is the source of this 664-nucleotide long non-coding RNA. RefSeq lists it as uncharacterized. The transcript has 2 exons. The record is from RefSeq and is a predicted model, not a curated record. Lineage: Eukaryota; Metazoa; Arthropoda; Branchiopoda; Diplostraca; Daphniidae.